This 89-nucleotide small RNA is filed under the name Marmota monax (woodchuck). Lineage: Eukaryota; Metazoa; Chordata; Mammalia; Rodentia; Sciuridae. The record is from RNAcentral.
GCCGGGUGCUGUGGCGCACACCUGUAAUCUCAGAGGCUCAGGAGGCUGAGGCAGGAGGAUAGUGAAUUCAAAGCCAGCCUCAGCAUCUU